CGCCAUCAGCUCCACCCCAUAUCUGUUUCCUGUCAGGUGUUUCCAUGUUAUCACGACCACUGCCACUGAACAAGACUAAUCUUAUAAGGAAGGCAUCAAUAGCGAUCUCAUCAAUGGAUUGUCACCAGAGGGUAAAGAUAUUGAAUGUAUGGCACUUACCUUUUUUUAUGGUGGGUGUGUGGCACUUGAUGUGAUGGAGUGACUCCUGGGCGCAGUGGUGUACAUGUUCCUCCACGGCAAGGGCCACCACAUCAUGGGCCUCCUGACCAAGGUUAUGUAGUUGUGUGUCACCAGGGCGAUCCCCAUGUAACUGAUCUUAUUCCCCCCUAUAUGUAGCAUGGCCAGCUUGCGUUGAUUGAUUCAGUAAACGGGGUGUUGGUUUGUGUUUGUUUUUCCGUAGCCUUCUAAAUUCCACAACUGGAACGUGUACGGUUUGGGUGCAAAGAUGUACU
This is a non-coding RNA of Triticum urartu, 452 nucleotides long. Lineage: Eukaryota; Viridiplantae; Streptophyta; Magnoliopsida; Poales; Poaceae. The record is from RefSeq and is a predicted model, not a curated record.